This 217-nucleotide long non-coding RNA is filed under the name Drosophila guanche. The record is from RNAcentral. Lineage: Eukaryota; Metazoa; Arthropoda; Insecta; Diptera; Drosophilidae.
GCUGGUGGUAGUACAUGUGUGUGUGUGCAACCUACUACUCAGAUGUGAUAAAUACGUGCAACAUAAAAUUGUGAAUCAUUAAUAAAAAGGUUCGUCCUGCAACCCCUCAACGACGACGACGGCGACGACGACGUGGACGGGCCUAAGCAAACACAAGAAAUGCUACAUGAAAAUGAUUCGAUAGCAAAGGGAAAACCUUUCUCCGCUCCGUAGUUAU